CUCUCCCCACCGGCAGGUGUGGCCAGAGCGGAGUGCUCUGCAGUGCGGCGGCGGGGAGUGCGGGGCGGGCGGGGCGCCGGAUCCCGAGCGAGCUGCUCCUGCCGGUGAGUGCACCCGCGCACGCUUGUUGGAUGCGCUAGGACGCGAGUUCUGGUGAGCCUCGGUGGAGGUGCGGUGGCCGGAGUGCGACGGGGACGGCUGUGACUCCGGAGCGCGGCGGUCUGGGACUCUUGAGCGCGGCGGCCGGUGCUGGGCGCGGCCCCGAUGGGCGUGGUCGGCGCGGGCAUGGCGAGGCUGGAGAGCUGGGCCUAGGAUUGCAUCGUCGAGGUAUGAACAUUCCUGGCUUAUCCCUUGCAUUUGGGUGGAAGAAGAAUACAAAAAAAGAUCUAGUUUACAUUGAGUUUGUGGCCAGGUGCAAAUUUGGUCAAGUUUAGAUAGAGGUCUAGUAUUUGCCUGUAUCUUUUUAAUUUGUUAGCGUUGGCAAAUUUGGCAUUGGUUUUUUAUUACAGAACUAACUAGGACCGAAUCUGACAUGAGUACAUGAGUAACUAGCAUCAGAUAAAAUCUUACUCUUCUGAAAAUCGAGUUUGGAAGCCAAAUUGUUGAGCACUCGUUCCCUGGUUAGCUGACAGGAUUGCAUAGUUGUUCUGUAGUUAGCAAUCAAAGGAGCAGUGCCUGCUCAUGACGUGCUGGUCUCUGUUCUAGACUUGUAGCAGGUGUUGGAGUUGGAACAACCCACGGCUUCGUCAAUACACCCAGACCCAAUCCCAUCCCCACACUGAAUCUUCUUUUUCUUUACUUUCAUCCACAAUCUUCCCGGGUUUCUCUGACAAAGAUAGUAAGAUGGGUGAAUCAUUUGUUGUCAAUAUUGGUUGUCAAAAAACAGUUGCUCUUUUAAAGCUUGCGUUGCGUGUGUGAAUGAGGGCAGCAGGUAUCAUGCUGCAGUUUGGCUUUCGUUUUGCUAGAUUUAUGUGAAAACUGUGGGAGCUCCAAUGAUUACCUUGCUUUGUUUAAACAUAAACAUCUCAUAGAAACAAUAAUACCAAGCUGGACAUUGAACAUAGGCCAAUUAUCUCUUAGUAUAUAGAAAUUACAGGCUGAACACAAAUAAUGGAAAUAGUAACAUUAUUACAUAUAGAGUCGAUAAUGUAACUUAAAAUUUCUUGUAGGGGCUCAACUGCAACGGUCCUGGAUUAGAGACCCUGCGAUUUGGGCGUUCGACACGAUUAGCAAUAGACGCGGUGGUUAACUGGUCUUUCACAGACAUUGGAGUUUUGUCGUUCUUCUUUGGG
RNAcentral lists this long non-coding RNA (1292 nucleotides) under Sorghum bicolor (sorghum). RNAcentral describes it as "long non-coding RNA (SBIC_LNC000233)". Lineage: Eukaryota; Viridiplantae; Streptophyta; Magnoliopsida; Poales; Poaceae. The record is from RNAcentral.